This 253-nucleotide ribosomal RNA is filed under the name uncultured bacterium. RNAcentral's name for it is "partial 16S ribosomal RNA". It matches the Rfam family "Bacterial small subunit ribosomal RNA", at positions 524 to 776 of the family's 1533-position model. The record is from RNAcentral.
UACAGAGGGUGCAAACGUUGCUCGGAAUCACUGGGCGUAAAGGGCGUGUAGGCGGGUAGGAAAGUCAGAUGUGAAAUCCCCGGGCUCAACCUGGGAACUGCAUUUGAAACUCCCUUUCUUGAGUACCGGAGAGGAAAGUGGAAUUCCUGGUGUAGAGGUGAAAUUCGUAGAUAUCAGGAGGAACACCAGUGGCGAAGGCGGCUUUCUGGACGGUAACUGACGCUGAGACGCGAAAGCGUGGGGAGCAAACAGG